Molecule: ribosomal RNA, 492 nt
Filed under: uncultured bacterium
Lineage: Bacteria
Description: partial 16S ribosomal RNA
Rfam family: Bacterial small subunit ribosomal RNA
Source: RNAcentral
AGUGAACGCUGGCGGUAGGCCUAACACAUGCAAGUCGAACGGCAGCACAGUAAGAGCUUGCUCUUACGGGUGGCGAGUGGCGGACGGGUGAGGAAUACAUCGGAAUCUACUUUUUCGUGGGGGAUAACGUAGGGAAACUUACGCUAAUACCGCACACGACCUACGGGUGAAAGCAGGGGAUCUUCGGACCUUGCGCGAUUGAAUGAGCCGAUGUCGGAUUAGCUAGUUGGCGGGGUAAAGGCCCACCAAGGCGACGAUCCGUAGCUGGUCUGAGAGGAUGAUCAGCCACACUGGAACUGAGACACGGUCCAGACUCCUACGGGAGGCAGCAGUGGGGAAUAUUGGACAAUUGGCGCAAGCCUGAUCCAGCCAUACCGCGUGGGUGAAGAAGGCCUUCGGGUUGUAAAGCCCUUUUGUUGGGAAAGAAAAGCAGCAGGUUAAUACCCCGCUGUUCUGACGGUACCCAAAGAAUAAGCACCGGCUAACUUCGUG